CCUACGGGUGGCAGCAGUGGGGAAUAUUGCACAAUGGGGGAAACCCUGAUGCAGCGACGCCGCGUGAGUGAAGAAGUAUUUCGGUAUGUAAAGCUCUAUCAGCAGGGAAGAAACCCACCCUCCGGGGUGGCUGACGGUACCUGACUAAGAAGCCCCGGCUAACUACGUGCCAGCAGCCGCGGUAAUACGUAGGGGGCAAGCGUUAUCCGGAUUUACUGGGUGUAAAGGGAGCGUAGGUGGCAAGACAAGUCAGAUGUGAAAUUCCGGGGCUCAACCCCGGACCUGCAUUUGAAACUGUUGGUCGUGAGUAUCGGAGAGGCAGGCGGAAUUCCUAGUGUAGCGGUGAAAUGCGUAGAUAUUAGGAGGAACAACAGUGGCGAAGGCGGCCUGCUGGACGACAACUGACGGUGAGGCGCGAAAGCGUGGGGAGCAAACAGGAUUAGAUACCCUAGUAGUC
RNAcentral lists this ribosomal RNA (457 nucleotides) under uncultured bacterium. RNAcentral describes it as "partial 16S ribosomal RNA". It matches the Rfam family "Bacterial small subunit ribosomal RNA", at positions 338 to 795 of the family's 1533-position model. The record is from RNAcentral.